UAAAUAUGAGAGUUUGAUCCUGGCUCAGGAUGAACGCUGGCGGCGUGCCUAACACAUGCAAGUCGAACGAAGCUCCUGCGACAGAAUCCUUCGGGAGGAAGAUGCUUGAGACUGAGUGGCGGACGGGUGAGUAACGCGUGGGUAACCUGCCCUGUACAGGGGGACAACAGUUGGAAACGACUGCUAAUACCGCAUAAGC
Molecule: ribosomal RNA, 199 nt
Filed under: Jutongia hominis
Lineage: Bacteria; Bacillati; Bacillota; Clostridia; Lachnospirales; Lachnospiraceae
Description: partial 16S ribosomal RNA
Rfam family: Bacterial small subunit ribosomal RNA
Source: RNAcentral